GACGAACGCUGGCGGCGUGCUUAACACAUGCAAGUCGAACGGAAAGGCCCUGCUUUUGUGGGGUGCUCGAGUGGCGAACGGGUGAGUAACACGUGAGUAACCUGCCCUUGACUUUGGGAUAACUUCAGGAAACUGGGGCUAAUACCGGAUAGGAGCUCCUGCUGCAUGGUGGGGGUUGGAAAGUUUCGGCGGUUGGGGAUGGACUCGCGGCUUAUCAGCUUGUUGGUGGGGUAGUGGCUUACCAAGGCUUUGACGGGUAGCCGGCCUGAGAGGGUGACUGCCACAUUGGGACUGAGAUACGGCCCAGACUCCUACGGGAGGCAGCAGUGGGGAAUAUUGCACAAUGGGCGGAAGCCUGAUGCAGCAACGCCGCGUGCGGGAUGACGGCCUUCGGGUUGUAAACCGCUUUCGCCUGUGACGAAGCGUGAGUGACGGUAAUGGGUAAAGAAGCACCGGCUAACUACGUG
This 467-nucleotide ribosomal RNA is filed under the name uncultured bacterium. RNAcentral's name for it is "partial 16S ribosomal RNA". It matches the Rfam family "Bacterial small subunit ribosomal RNA", at positions 28 to 507 of the family's 1533-position model. The record is from RNAcentral.